RNAcentral lists this ribosomal RNA (550 nucleotides) under uncultured bacterium. Its description in RNAcentral is "bacterial SSU rRNA". It matches the Rfam family "Bacterial small subunit ribosomal RNA", at positions 355 to 896 of the family's 1533-position model. The record is from RNAcentral.
UAGGGAAUCUUCCGCAAUGGACGCAAGUCUGACGGAGCAACGCCGCGUGAGUGAAGAAGGUUUUCGGAUCGUAAAACUCUGUUGUUAGAGAAGAACAAGUGCUAGAGUAACUGUUAGCGCCUUGACGGUAUCUAACCAGAAAGCCACGGCUAACUACGUGCCAGCAGCCGCGGUAAUACGUAGGUGGCAAGCGUUGUCCGGAUUUAUUGGGCGUAAAGCGAGCGCAGGCGGUUCCUUAAGUCUGAUGUGAAAGCCCCCGGCUCAACCGGGGAGGGUCAUUGGAAACUGGGGAACUUGAGUGCAGAAGAGGAGAGUGGAAUUCCAUGUGUAGCGGUGAAAUGCGUAGAUAUAUGGAGGAACACCAGUGGCGAAGGCGACUCUCUGGUCUGUAACUGACGCUGAGGCUCGAAAGCGUGGGUAGCAAACAGGAUUAGAUACCCUGGUAGUCCACGCCGUAAACGAUGAGCGCUAAGUGUUGGAGGGUUUCCGCCCUUCAGUGCUGCAGUUAACGCAUUAAGCACUCCGCCUGGGGAGUACGACCGCAAGGUUG